AGUGAACGCUGGCGGUAGGCCUAACACAUGCAAGUCGAACGGCAGCACACUAAGAGCUUGCUCUUACGGGUGGCGAGUGGCGGACGGGUCAGGUAUACAUCGGAAUCUACUUUUUCGUGGGGGAUCACGUAGGGAAACUUACGCUCAUACCGCAUACGACCUACGGGUGAAAGCAGGGGAUCUUCUGACCUUGCGCGAUUGAAUGAGCCGCUGACGGAGUGGUUAGUUGGCGGGGUAAAGGCCCACCAAGGCGACGAUCCGUAGCUGGUCUGAGAGGAUGGUCGGCCACACGGGAACUGAGACACGGUCCAGACUCCUACGGGAGGCAGCAGUGUGGAAUAGUGGACAAUGGGCGCAAGCCUGAUCCAGCCAUACCGCGUGUGUGAAGAAGGCCUUCGGGUUGUAAAGCCCUUUUGUUGGGAAAGAAAAGCAGCAGGUUAAUACCCCGCUGUUCUGACGGUACCCAAAGAAGAAGCACCGGCUAACUUCGUG
Molecule: ribosomal RNA, 492 nt
Filed under: uncultured bacterium
Lineage: Bacteria
Description: partial 16S ribosomal RNA
Rfam family: Bacterial small subunit ribosomal RNA
Source: RNAcentral